Molecule: non-coding RNA, 55 nt
Filed under: marine eukaryotic metagenome
Source: RNAcentral
AAAGUGGAAAGAUUUGGCCUAUUGCAACCACUAAAAAAAAUGCUAAAACAGUAUU